UCGGGUCUAGUGGCGCACGGGUGCGUAACACGUGGGAAUCUGCCCUUUGGUAUGGAAUAACUCUGGGAAACUAGCGCUAAUGCCAUAUGAUGCCGCAAGGCCAAAGAUUUAUCGCCAAGGGAUGAGCCCGCGUAGGAUUAGCUAGUUGGUGGGGUAAAGGCCUACCAAGGCAACGAUCCUUAGCUGGUCUGAGAGGAUGAUCAGCCACACUGGGACUGAGACACGGCCCAGACUCCUACGGGAGGCAGCAGUGGG
Molecule: ribosomal RNA, 255 nt
Filed under: uncultured Novosphingobium sp.
Lineage: Bacteria; Pseudomonadati; Pseudomonadota; Alphaproteobacteria; Sphingomonadales; Sphingomonadaceae
Description: partial 16S ribosomal RNA
Rfam family: Bacterial small subunit ribosomal RNA
Source: RNAcentral